This 254-nucleotide long non-coding RNA is filed under the name Olea europaea subsp. europaea. Lineage: Eukaryota; Viridiplantae; Streptophyta; Magnoliopsida; Lamiales; Oleaceae. The record is from RNAcentral.
AAACUGGCCAGGGUCCAUGAGCCCCCCAACUGAACUACCAAAGUGCCUAGCAAGUCAAACCCAUGUAUGCGUCUUGCCUUCCAAGGAACUCCUGCCUUCCAGGAAAUAUCCUGCCUUCCAGGAGAAAGCCUUACCUUCCAAGAGCCCCAUGAAUCGAACCCGCGACCUUUGAACUGCCCGCCUUGAAGAACUCCGUCCUUUGCCAGUUGGGAUGUGCCCCGGGGGGCAAGAGGGGCAUCUUUUGUUAGGAAGAU